This 250-nucleotide ribosomal RNA is filed under the name uncultured bacterium. Its description in RNAcentral is "partial 16S ribosomal RNA". It matches the Rfam family "Bacterial small subunit ribosomal RNA", at positions 109 to 354 of the family's 1533-position model. The record is from RNAcentral.
AGUAAGACGUAAGGAACCUGCCCCUACUGCCUGGGAUAACUCUGGGAAACGAGAGCUAAUACCGGAUAGGUGAACGGAAGACAUCUUCGGUUCAUGAAAGAUGGGGAACAUCACAGAGGGAUGGCCUUACGGCGCAUUAGCUAGUUGGAGAGGUAGAGGCUCACCAAGGCGAUGAUGCGUAGCCGGCCUGAGAGGGUGAACGGCCACAUUGGGACUGAGACACGGCCCAGACUCCUACGGAAGGCAGCAG